This 73-nucleotide transfer RNA is filed under the name Perca fluviatilis (European perch). It matches the Rfam family "tRNA". Rfam says of the family: Transfer RNA (tRNA) molecules are approximately 80 nucleotides in length. The record is from Rfam by way of RNAcentral. Lineage: Eukaryota; Metazoa; Chordata; Actinopteri; Perciformes; Percidae.
GGCACUGUAGCUUAGUGGAUACAGUUCCUACCUUGUAAACAGGAGAUCCUGGGUUCAAAUCCCAGCAGUACCU